CCUACGGGUGGCAGCAGUGGGGAAUAUUGGACAAUGGGGGCAACCCUGAUCCAGCCAUGCCGCGUGUGUGAAGAAGGCCCUCGGGUUGUAAAGCACUUUCAGUGAGGAAGAACACCUGGUGGUUAAUACCCAUCAGGAAAGACAUCACUCACAGAAGAAGCACCGGCUAACUCCGUGCCAGCAGCCGCGGUAAUACGGAGGGUGCGAGCGUUAAUCGGAAUUACUGGGCGUAAAGCGCGCGUAGGUGGCUUGAUAAGCCGGUUGUGAAAGCCCCGGGCUCAACCUGGGAACGGCAUCCGGAACUGUCAAGCUAGAGUGCAGGAGAGGAAGGUAGAAUUCCCGGUGUAGCGGUGAAAUGCGUAGAGAUCGGGAGGAAUACCAGUGGCGAAGGCGGCCUUCUGGACUGACACUGACACUGAGGUGCGAAAGCGUGGGUAGCAAACAGGAUUAGAUACCCUUGUAGUC
Molecule: ribosomal RNA, 465 nt
Filed under: Vreelandella stevensii
Lineage: Bacteria; Pseudomonadati; Pseudomonadota; Gammaproteobacteria; Oceanospirillales; Halomonadaceae
Description: partial 16S ribosomal RNA
Rfam family: Bacterial small subunit ribosomal RNA
Source: RNAcentral